Molecule: unclassified non-coding RNA, 354 nt
Filed under: Hevea brasiliensis (rubber tree)
Lineage: Eukaryota; Viridiplantae; Streptophyta; Magnoliopsida; Malpighiales; Euphorbiaceae
Source: RNAcentral
GUCUCCAAUUUUGCAAACACCCAAUGAUCUCAAGUUAGUAGCACCGCCACCUUAACCAAUACAAGGUGUAGCCAAAAAGAUCACUUGUAUGCACAACACAAAAAUGGUCCUACCUUACAACUUGAACAAGGCUUCUUUUUUUUUUUAUAACGGUUUCCCUUCAUCUUUUCCAUAAAUUCGUUGAAGUUCACGGGUCGCAGCUAGAAAUGAUUCUUUCCAAAGAUGAAAGGACUUCUGGUUGAUAGGUGAUCCAGUUAUUGUCUGAAUAACUUCAAAAAGCAUACUCUGAGGAGUGCUUCUUAGCUCUUGGACAAUGCCAUAGAUGGUCUUCCCAUUCUCAAAAUAUAUGUGAUU